CCUACGGGAGGCAGCAGUGGGGGAUAUUGCACAAUGGGGGAAACCCUGAUGCAGCGACGCCGCGUGAGUGAAGAAGUAUCUCGGUACGUAAAGCUCUAUCAGCAGGGAAGAAAAUAAUGGUACUUGACUAAGAAGCACCGGCGAACUACGUCCCAGCAGCCGCGGUGAUACGUAGGGGGCAAGCGUUAUUCGGAUGUACUGGGUGUAAAGGGAGCGUAGACGGCAGCACAAGUCUGGAGUGAAAUCCCGGGGCGCAACCCCGGAACUGCUCUGGAAACUGUGCGGCUGGAGUGCAGGAGGGGUAAGCGGAAUUCCUAGUGUAGCGGUGAAAUGCGUAGAUAUUAGGAGGAACACCGGUGGCGAAGGCGGCUUACUGGACUGUAACUGACGUUGAGGCUCGAAAGCGUGGGGAGCAAACAGGAUUAGAUACCCGUGUAGUC
RNAcentral lists this ribosomal RNA (440 nucleotides) under uncultured bacterium. RNAcentral describes it as "partial 16S ribosomal RNA". It matches the Rfam family "Bacterial small subunit ribosomal RNA", at positions 338 to 795 of the family's 1533-position model. The record is from RNAcentral.